GAUGAACGCUGGCGGCGUGCCUAAUACAUGCAAGUCGAGCGAACGGACGAGAAGCUUGCUUUUCUGAUGUUAGCGGCGGGCGGGUGAGUAACACGUGGAUAACCUACUUAUAUGACUGGGAUAACUUCGGGAAACCGGAUCUAAUACCGGAUAAUAUUUUGAACCGCAUUGUUCAAAAGUGAAAGACGGCUUUGCGGUCACUUAUAGAUGGAUCCGCGCUGCAUUAGCUAGUUGGUAAGGUAACGGCUUACCAAGGCGACGAUGCAUAGCCGACCGGAGAGGGUGAUCGGCCACACUGGAACUGAGACACGGUCCAGACUCCUACGGGAGGCAGCAGUAGGGAAUCUUCCGCAAUGGGCGAAAGCCUGACGGAGCAACGCCGCGUGAGUGAUGAAGGUCUUCGGAUCGUAAAGCUCUGUUAUUAGGGAAGAACAUAUGUGUAAGUAACUGUGCACAUCUUGACGGUACCUAAUCAGAAAGCCACGGCUAACUACGUG
RNAcentral lists this ribosomal RNA (497 nucleotides) under uncultured bacterium. RNAcentral describes it as "partial 16S ribosomal RNA". It matches the Rfam family "Bacterial small subunit ribosomal RNA", at positions 28 to 507 of the family's 1533-position model. The record is from RNAcentral.